UUAAACUGAAGAGUUUGAUCAUGGCUCAGAUUGAACGCUGGCGGCAGGCUUAACACAUGCAAGUCGAGCGGUAAC
Molecule: ribosomal RNA, 75 nt
Filed under: Marinobacter sp. 34-60-7
Lineage: Bacteria; Pseudomonadati; Pseudomonadota; Gammaproteobacteria; Pseudomonadales; Marinobacteraceae
Description: partial 16S ribosomal RNA
Rfam family: Bacterial small subunit ribosomal RNA
Source: RNAcentral